RNAcentral lists this long non-coding RNA (7379 nucleotides) under Homo sapiens (human). RNAcentral's name for it is "HSALNT0365341". Lineage: Eukaryota; Metazoa; Chordata; Mammalia; Primates; Hominidae. The record is from RNAcentral.
CCCUUCAACCCACAGCCAGGAGCUAGGCAAACACCCACAGAGGAGGGAGGACACACUUUAACCCUACAUUCAGCUUGACGAGCCAAACUCUCUGAACCACAGGAGAUAAAACUUCUGCCAUGGAACUGCUAAGGUAGAUAAUCAGCAACCCCCCAAGACUGUGCCUGCUGCACAACUACAGAACGCAGUGGAAGACACGCUGAAUUCUGAGUCAGAAGGUUGACUUUCUAGCUGUGGGGACUUGGCCAAACCUCCUCAGAGCUUCAGUUUUCUCAUCUGUAAAAUAGAGAUCUUAAUCCCUACCAAUCUCACAGGACUGCUGAGAGUAUCAGAUGAGGUAAGUAUAUAAAAUAGCUGUGCAAAUUUGUGUGAAGGCCUCCAGAGAGAAAUAGUGCAUGCAGGUGGCAUUAGAAACAUAGAUUCUAGUCCUGGCUUUGCAACCAAAUUAUUAUGUAAUUUUUUGUCUUGAUCAUCUUGUCUCUUACGAUUUCUUCAUAAGUUAAAUGAAAAGACACCUUUCAGCCCUGACCACUCCCAAACCUUCAGGACCCCCACUGGGUUGUGAGAUAGGAGCAGCCACAGGCAAGGUCACCCAGGACAGGAGUUAGAGCUGAAUCGUGCAAUAUGAGUGAGGUGUUCCUCUCAGCUUCAAAACCAGCUCUGGGUUGUAAACAAGCUACCACUUCCUCUAUCCCUCUGAAGUAACAUCAAAGUUGGGGUGCAGGAUGGAAGACAGUACCAUAUCCCCCUCUGUCCCAUCUUGCAUGGCCUUGCUCGGAUGCUGCCCAGCAUCAUGACGAAAAUCAACAUGCACGGAAAUGUAAUGAUAGACUCACAGCUGUGUAUAAAACAGUCUUAAGCCUGUUGUCAGACUUUAAACUGCCCUCCUCUGUCCUACUGCCCAUCUUAGGCCACUGGAGAUGGAGGUAGAGGACAAACACACAGAGGUCACAGUGUCCUACAUUUUUAUCCAGGUGGAGUCAUGUUUAAAAUAGCAGCAAGGACAGCCACGAAGAGGAAAAAACUCCCCAAAGCCUAAUUUGACUUCUUUCUGUUCUUUCUCUUCCUGUGGCCUUCUCACAUGCUCACCUCCUGGCUGGCCAACUUCUAUUCAGCCUUCAGGUUUCAGAGCAGCCUCCUUAGGCACCUAGGCUAGGUUACAGCCCUCACUCUAAGGCUCUAGUCCCCUGUAGCCUUUGAUACUUCCUCUCUGGUCACUUGCUUAAUCUCCAUCUUCCUCUUAAUCUACAAGCAGCAGAAUGACAAAACCAGUCUAUCUCAUUCAAGUCUAGACGCCCAGUGCCCAGCAUACUCUUGGCACAUGGUGGCACUCAAUGAUAUUUAUAGGAUGCAUGCAUUUAAAUGAAGGUGAGAAGUGACACCACCUUUGUCCUGGUGGCAAUGGUUGGUUAAGGGGCCAAUGUAGUUGAAUCUCAGAUCUUUUCUUACCACCAUCUGCUUCCCACCUCGUUUUCUCCCCCAAAGCAGGCCUCUCUGAGUCACGCAACCAGACCAGAGUCAUUAAAGCAGAAAAGGGACUUCCCUGCCCUUAGGAUGGUAAACAUUGUUCCCUCUUCCAUGUUACUUUGGCCAAAUAACUACCAUUGACCUCACCAGCUCAGGCAAAAUAGAAAUACCCGCCUGCCCCCAAAGAAAUAACUCCUUCUCCUGCUGUUGCCAAAAUCUACUUCAGUUAGGAAAGCGUCCAAGAUAAUUGAUGAGGUUUAAAAUACAAAUGCACCCAGAGCAUAGAAUAAGUAACUUAUAUUCUCACUCUUGAUUAAAUUAAAUCCAAAGAGGAGUUUCUGGAAAUAGCAGUAAGUUAUUUUGCAUAGCAGUGAUUUACAUUUGCAUAACAUUAUAACAGCAUUAUCUAUCUCAUUCCAUCGCACAGCAACCCUUUGAAGUGGGCCAAAGCGAGAAUUAUUGUCACCCCCAUUUUACAGACCUUAAGCAUUGAAAUUCAGAAAGGAAGACUAUUUGCUUUGCCUAAAGUUAAACAGGCUUGCUAACUUACUGUUAGUAAGGGAUAAAUUUGAACCCAGGCUCCCUUUUUCUGCCACAUCUGAUACCUCUCUUAGGAAGAGAAGAGCUGGUAUUUCAAGUCCUGGGUAUAGUGGAACAGCGGGAAUUAGGGCAGAAAGAAGGAAAGGGAGUGGCUGUAGGCCUCACCUCCUUCACAACUCAGCCCUGCCUUAACCAGCACUGUCUCCCUUCCUAGGUACCUAGCCUAGGUGAGAUGCUGUAUCUGCUUGACCCUCACGCCCUGAUUGGGACAAGUUAGCAGUAAUGUUACAGUUACAAAGCUCACAAGUCCAGUCCUGUUUUCUAUACUUUUCUAGGAGAUGAAUUUAGCGAGGGAUUUGGUUUCCAAUGUGUUUCAAAACCUGUGAGAGAGCGCAAGUUUUAGAAGGUCCCUCAGACAGGCACAGUGACUUAUGCCCUUAAUCCCAGCACUUACAGAGGCCAAGGCGGGAGGAUCGUUUGAACCCAGGAGUUCAAGACCAGCCUGGGCAAUGUGUCGAAACCCCACCUCUACAAAAAAUACAAAAAUGAGCCAGGCAUGGUAGCACAUGCCAGUAGUCCCAGCUACUUAGGAGGCUGAGUGGGGAGGAUCGCUUGAGCCCAGGAGGUCAGGGCUGCAGUGAGCUGAGAUCGCACCACUGCACUCCAGCCUGGGUGACAGAGAGAGACCCUGUCUCAAAAAAAAAAAAAAAAAAAGCCCUCAAGUUUUGGUUCCACUGUUUACCCUUGUCUGGCCUUCAUCCCUGCGUAACUCAACUUCCUGAACUUCUAGAUCAAGAAAGCAUUUAGACCUUUCUCACAAAGUGUGUGAAGCGGGAACCUAGAAGUUUCUUAUAAUUAUGUAGACCCAAGGACAAACCUCCUGACAUAAGACAAUGGGUUGCUGAGGGUCCCUAGGAAAUUACCUCUUUCCCUGGGAAUAUAGAGGAGUAGGACUCCCCCUCCUGGGUUUGAAGUGAAUGAGAGGAACUUAAGCUGAAGAUUAUUUGAAUAUCCCCGUGUAAUUACAUAUCAAGGCUUGUAUCUUCUUCCCUUGAGGCCUUUGCUGUACAUUCACUGGGGAUGCAUGCGUUAGGCACAGACGAGCCUGGGGAUGUGACCAAUCAGCUUGGACACAGCACAGUUGAAAUGUGAUGCUUUGUUUCAGCAGAUGCCUCUGCACUCUCUUAGGGCCAGCAAGACAGGGAAAGCAGACAGUCAGACUAGCUUUUUGGCCCACGUCUCCUGGAUACUUUCCUUUUUUUUUUUUUUUUCUUCUCUUAAGACAGAGUUUCUGUCACCCAGGCUGGAGUGCAGUAGUGCAAUCUCAGCUCACUGCAACCUCCACCCCCUGAGUUCAAAUGAUUCUCCUGCCUCAGCCUCCCGAGUAGCUGGGAUUAUAGGCAUGUGUCAUCACACCUGGCUAAUUUUUGUAUUUUUAGUAGAGACGGGGUUUCACCAUGUUGCCCAGGCUGGUCUCGAACUCCCGUCCUCAGGUGAUCUGCCCACCUCAGCUUCCCAAAGUGCUGGGAUUACAGGCAUGAGCCACCAUGCCUGGCCUUCUCCUGGAUACAGUCUAACAGAAACCUAGGAUCCCCCAGACCCCUUUUCCAGUCAGAACAGAUUGAGAUGCUCUCCCCUCUGGCCUUGUUUAUUCAUUAACUAAAAGGCCACUUCUUGACCUCUUCCUGGAUUUCCCCCAACUACCCCUAGAGGCCCUGAAACUUGCUUUAGGCCUCUUUUGAGAUGUUGAUCAUGUUCUGCCUUCCAUUAGAACAACGAUUUUGGUACUUAUCUCCUUUUCUAAAUUGUAAUGAUGUCUUGGAGUCUAUUCCCCUGUCUUGUACUUAACAGAGACAGAGUAGAUCCUACAGAAUUGAAGUAAAAGUGAAGGGAGUGGUGAGAGAGAAUUACCCCCACCCCCGCUCCUCACACCCUUCGGCAGUUGGUUCUGGAAGGAGGAACAAUUUUGAAUCAAUGCUCUGGGGAGACUGAAUUUUUCAUUCUAGUUUUCACUGCAAAGAAUGGCAGAGAGGCCUCUGAGGGCCUGUCAGCACCAGGGCAGCCAGCCUGAGCAAGAAGGGGGUCCUUUCCCUGCAACAUAUUUUUAUGCAUGUCCUAGUCAUCAUCUGCCCAAUAAUAGGUUCAAAUGCCUAUAAAGGACACAGCCACUAACUGCAAGGAACUUGAGAAAGAGAAGAAAGAUAAACAUGAAACUAGCAGAAAUAUGUAAAUACAAAAAGAAUUCUGUCUUGGGGGGAAAAAAGAUGAGUACUGGCUUUGGGGAGGGUGAUAGGCAAACUCUCUGGAGAAUAAGACGUUAUGAGCUGUGGUUUCAGGUGUGUGUGUGGAAGUUGGAACGGGACAAGCAGAGAAGGCUAAAGUGCUCUGGUUCCGGGAGGAAGCAGGAAGUUAUUUUCAGCGUCUGAGGAGAAGGAGGAAAGGUUUCAGGGUAGAGUGGCGGCAAGGUAGGGUGUGGGAACAGGUAGGUGGGGUGGUGCCUGCUAUGGGAGGCUGGGAAGGCCAAUGGAGAGAGACACCAAAGGAGAGCUGUGGGGACAGCAGAAGCUGGGGUGGAGCGCCCAGCUCGUCCCUUUCAGCACUGUGGUGCAGGGAUCCGUGGAGGCCGUGCAGCCAGGGGUUCUGAGAAGUGCUUCUUCCAGCACCUGUUUCACCAGGGCCACAACACGUGUUCCAAAUGCCACUUUUGCCCAUCUCCUGCUACAGCUCAGGAGAAGUGGGAGGACCUGUGUAUCAUGCAUAUAAUCUCCCAGAGGGUGCGACAGAUCACGCCCCUCACUGUGCGCCUUCUCUAAAUCCAUCACCCUGGAAAUUUUACGUGGUGUCAUCAGCUGAAUUAACACCUGUUAAAAUCAUCAUUCCCACCAGACUCAAAACUGCAAGUGCUUUUAAUGAGGCUCCACAUAAAAUAAUACAUUUUCUCAGAGCCCUUAAAUUACAUUAAAUCCUCCACACCAAAUAAAUUAUUGAAACUGCGAUUAGAGUUUGGAUCAUACCAACAGACCUGCUCGGAGGCAAAUUUUCAAACUGCCCAACCACCUAAGCAAAGAGGUGAGUGAAAAAUUCUUCGUUUUCAAUGGUUAUUUCAACAGAAGCUUCAGUGCUAAAUUAGCAGUGAAUUUUGUGUAUGAAUUUUCUUUGAAAUCUAACAUUAUGUAAAUGAAAAACCCAACACAGCACAAAUUAAGACUAUUCUUAAUUCUAAAAGGCUGCUAUUCUGUGAUAAUGACGCCAUGGAAUACUUACAGUCUGCCAACCAUGGAGUGUGGUUCCUGCUCCCCCAUCUGUCUUGGAUGCCUCCCAGCAGGGGGACACCCACCGUGUCCUCAUUUCUUUAUCCUGCCCACUGAAGUCAGAUCCUGUCCACCCUUCCACCCCUCUUCCACCUCAUAAUUUAAUCUUGCCCAGAUCAUUUAAUCACCUAAAAUGGAACCAGAGAUUGAAAUGCGCUUAACCUGCAUCCAUGUGCAGUGUAAAGUACUAGAGGCGUGACGUCAGAAGCCCACUCACCUGGGUUUAUAUCCGGCUCUGCCAGAGACCCGCUGGAUCUGCUCAGGUACUUUCUCAGAGCCUAAGUUUCUUCAUCCGUAAGUAAAUAUGAAUUACCUACAUCUGCAGGUUUAAAGGAUUAAUUGAGAUUUUACAUGUCAAUGGUUUAGAAAGUGAACGCCUGGCACAUAAAACUUGUUUAGCUAAUGAUGCCUAUUAUUAUUGAGCAAAGCUCGGGUUAGGUAUUGUUGGUAAAUCAAUUUGGCCAUUCAGCAAUUGUUGGGUUUUUAUUCAGGUUUGUACAUGUCCCUUCAACCUCACUACCAGGUGAUAUGUUGCUAUAAAAACUGAGAUUAGUUUUUAUAAAUUAAACCAGGUUUCUCUCUCUCUUUCUCUCUGACACACAGACACACACACACACACCCACGCGCACACACACACACACAUUUCUUAGCAAGCAGGCUAGAGGCCAUCACACAUCCUGUACCAGAAGGCUCAGGGCACCCCUAAAACCCUUACAGGAGAACCUAGACCCCAAACAGAUGGAGCAGUGUUCUGAGGCCAGGAUCCACCAAACUCCUGGUCAAAUCAGGGAACAGUUUCCCUUUAAGUGGAGAGACAAAAGACCAGAUGAAUUCAACAGCUCUGGAGGAGGAAUCAGCCUGCUGGGUCUGCUGGAUUCUUACAUCUUGUCCAAGCAAGCCCACUCCAGCUAUGUUUCUUGAGCAGCGCUAAUUUCACCAAUGAAAAAUAAUAACUAAUAUUCCUUAUGCUAAUUUAUACACCUUCUGAUUCAAAUGUACAUGAUGUUCUCAGCGCAGCUCCCUGAAAAGCUUGAAUUCCUGACCAGGAUGCUUCAAGUGCCAAUCACACUUAGAGCAUGGAUUUCUGAUGAAGUCCCUUCAAACGUGAGCUGUACACCCCUAGCAUGGAUUAAAGUUAAUUUAUACACAUAUACAUGACUCUGUUUAUAUUGAAGUAUUUAAAAUCUACUACAGACAAUAUAGCAACUAUGAAUAAGGAAAAGCUUCCAGCAUCAAUGGAACAGGAGAGUGGUAUAAAACCAUGGCUUUUCCUUCAGUGGGAAUAUUCAUGCCUUAGGUUCUUGUCUGUUUGACAUGGCAUUGUGAGAAUUUAUUUUAGAUAUGCCACUGUAGACAGCCAGAUUUUACUGUGUUUGUUUGGCCAGCAACCUGGGGCAGUCAUUUGUCCUAAUCGGGAAUUCAUGCCUCAAGGGUGGUCAGCUAGCACUAGAAAGUCCAACGCUAGCUCCAGGGUAGCUCUAAAUCUCAAUCAAUACAAGUGAUUUUUUACUAAUUAGCAUAACGAAUGUUGAGAAUGAAUUUUCAUUAGUAGCUUGUUAGUUAGAUUAAUAAGUAUUAGAAACGGGCUGUCAUUAGUAAAGUCAGAAGUAUUCAAGACAUAUGGCUUAUCAAAAAUGUUUUAUAGACACUCUUUUCCAUCCCACGUCUUCAUGUCCUCUAGCCUCAGAGAUGCCAAUUGAGUCUUUUUUUUUUUUUUCUUUUGUGAGACAGAGCCUUGGCUGGGCGCGGUGACUCACGCCUGUAAUCCCAGCACUUUGGGAGGCCGAGAUGGACGGAUCACGAGGUCAGGAGAUCAAGACCAUCCUGGUUAACAUGGUGAAACCCCAUCUCUACUAAAAAUACAAAAAAUUAGCCGGGCGUGGUGGUGGGCGCCUGUAGUCCCAGCUACUCGGGAGGCUGAGGCAGGAGAAUGGCGUGAACCUGGGAGGCGGAGCUUGCAGUGAGCCGAGAUCACGCCACUGCACUCCAGCCUGGGCGACAGAGCAAGACUCCAUCUCAAAAAAAUAAAUAAAUAAAUAAAUAAAUAAAUAAAUAAAUAAA